GACGAACGCUGGCGGCGUGCUUAACACAUGCAAGUCGAACGGAAAGGCCCUGCUUUUGUGGGGUGCUCGAGUGGCGAACGGGUGAGUAACACGUGAGUAACCUGCCCUUGACUUUGGGAUAACUUCAGGAAACUGGGGCUAAUACCGGAUAGGAGCUCCUGCUGCAUGGUGGGGGUUGGAAAGUUUCGGCGGUUGGGGAUGGACUCGCGGCUUAUCAGCUUGUUGGUGGGGUAGAGGCUUACCAAGGCUUUGACGGGUAGCCGGCCUGAGAGGGUGACCGGCCACAUUGGGACUGAGAUACGGCCCAGACUCCUACGGGAGGCAGCAGUGGGGAAUAUUGCACAAUGGGCGGAAGCCUGAUGCAGCAACGCCGCGUGCGGGAUGACGGCCUUCGGGUUGUAAACCGCUUUCGCCUGUGACGAAGCGUGAGUGACGGUAAUGGGUAAAGAAGCACCAGCUAACUACGUG
RNAcentral lists this ribosomal RNA (468 nucleotides) under uncultured bacterium. Its description in RNAcentral is "partial 16S ribosomal RNA". It matches the Rfam family "Bacterial small subunit ribosomal RNA", at positions 28 to 507 of the family's 1533-position model. The record is from RNAcentral.